Molecule: ribosomal RNA, 489 nt
Filed under: uncultured bacterium
Lineage: Bacteria
Description: partial 16S ribosomal RNA
Rfam family: Bacterial small subunit ribosomal RNA
Source: RNAcentral
ACUCAAAUGAAUUGACGGGGACCCGCACAACCUGUGGAGCGUGUGGUUUAAUUCGAGACAAAGCGAAAAACCUUACCAGGGCUUGACAUCUUAUCGUUUUAUACCUUUAGAAACAUUGGUAGAUCCGCAAGGAUGAUAGGACAGGCGCUGCAUGGUUGUCAUCAGUUCGUGCCGUGAGGUGUUCCCUUAAGUGGGGAAACGAACGCAACCCCCGUGCAAUGUUAAAUAUUCAUUGCAGACUGCUUCAUUUUAUGAAGAGGAAGGAGGGGAAGAUGUCAAAUCAGCAUGGCCCUUAUGCCCUGGGAUACACACACACUACAAUGGCGAAAAACAACGUGUCGCAAGUAUGCAAAUGCAAGCUAAUCACUGAAAUUUCGCCUCAGUUCAGAUUGAGGUCUGCAACCCGACCUCAUGAAGUCGGAAUAGGUAGUAAUCGCGGAUCAGCAUGCCGCGGUGAAUACGUUCUCGGGUCUUGUACACACCGCCCGU